UGAUGACGAGACGCUAAGGCGUUGAAGUAGUGUAUGUCAGACUUCCAAGAAAAGCUCGCAAUGUCACAAAUAAAAAUGCCUGUACCAUAACCGACACAGGUGGGUAGGUAGAGUAUACUAAGGGGCGCGAGAUAACUCUCUCUAAGGAACUCGGCAAAAUGACUCCGUAACUUCGGGAGAAGGAGUGCCUUAUUUAUAAGGUUGCAAUAACAAGAUCCAAGCAACUGUUUAUCAAAAACACAGGUCUCCGCUAAGUCGUAAGACGAUGUAUGGGGGCUGACGCCUGCCCAGUGCCAGAAGGUUAAAGAAGUUGGUUAGUGUAUGCGAAGCUGAUGACUGAAGCCCUGGUGAACGGCGGCCGUAACGAUAACGGUCCUAAGGUAGCGAAAUUCCUUGUCGGGUAAGUUCCGACCCGCACGAAAGGCGUAAUGAUUUGGAUACUGUCUCGGAGAGAGGCUCGGUGAAAUAGACUUGUCUGUGAAGAUGCGGACUACCUGCACCAGGACAGAAAGACCCUAUGAAGCUUUACUGUAACUUGAAAUUGGAAUUGGACUUUGCUUGCGCAGUAUAGGUGGGAAGCGUUGAAAAUAUUCUUGCGGGAGUAUUGGAGCUAUCAGUGAGAUACCACUCUUGUAAUGUUAGAUUUCUAACUUUGAACCAUAAUCUGGUCAAAGAACAGUUUCAGGUGGGCAGUUUGACUGGGGCGGUCGCCUCCCAAAUGGUAACGGAGGCGUACAAAGGUUUCCUCUGAACGGAUAGAAAUCGUAUCUAGAGUGUAAAGGCAUAAGGAAGCUUGACUGUGAGACCUACAAGUCGAGCAGGGACGAAAGUCGGUCUUAGUGAUCUGACGGUACUGAGUGGAAAGGCCGUCACUCAACGGAUAAAAGUUACUCUAAGGAUAACAGGCUGAUCUCCCCCAAGAGUUCACAUCGACGGGGAGGUUUGGCACCUCGAUGUCGGCUCAUCGCAUCCUGGGGCGGUAGUACGUCCCAAGGGUUGGGCUGUUCGCCCAUGAAAGCGGUACGCGAGCUGGGUUCAGAACGUCGUGAGACAGUUCGGUCCAUAUCCGGUGUAGGCGCUAGAAUAUUGAGAGGAGCCUUCUUUAGUACGAGAGGACCGAGAAGGACACACCGCUGGUGUACCAGUUAUCGUGCCAACGGUAAACGCUGGGUAGCUAUGUGUGGAGUGGAUAACCGCUGAAAGCAUCUAAGUGGGAAGCCCACCUCGAGAUGAG
RNAcentral lists this ribosomal RNA (1234 nucleotides) under metagenome. RNAcentral describes it as "bacterial LSU rRNA". It matches the Rfam family "Bacterial large subunit ribosomal RNA", at positions 1564 to 2808 of the family's 2925-position model. The record is from RNAcentral.